CUCUUGUUCUCUAAGCACCCUGCUGCCGCUGUCGCUCCAUGUGCCUCAGCCCCUCUAAAGACAUGAAUCCCAGGCAUCUGGUUUUGUGGGUUCAGUAUUGUCUCGGGCAGAGAGGCUUUUCUUUUAAUAGUUGUUACAUGCCUGGACCCUUUGUGUCUUCUGUAAUAGCUGUCAUUCUGUGGUUAUUUGGCAAUCGCCAACUUGUUUUUCAUACUACCCCCCCCCCCCAAACAACAUCAUUAGAAAGCGCGACUCUGUGGCCAAAUUCAUUGCUUCGUGGCCUGCAAGGACAAACAGAAGGAAGAAGUGGUCCAUUGUAGUCAAUCUGCCACCAGGUUGGUGUCUGGUCAUCGAGGGGAUGCUCUCAGAUCUGGGGCUCAGUGCUGGUCUCUGCUGUUGGCAAAUCUGUCGCUCAGCAGCAGCUAUGGCCAUGUCAGCCAUCAUGAAUGGAAGUCAACAUUGUGGAGCCCAUGCCUAGCCAUAAUUAAGACAAUACUAUAUGAAAUGUCACAGUAUUAUUAAACACAUUAUAUCCAAA
This is a non-coding RNA of Rattus norvegicus (Norway rat), 538 nucleotides long. NCBI's taxonomy places the organism in Eukaryota, Metazoa, Chordata, Mammalia, Rodentia, Muridae. The record is from RefSeq and is a predicted model, not a curated record.